GACGAACGCUGGCGGCGUGCUUAACACAUGCAAGUCGAACGCUGAAGCUCAGCUUUUGUUGGGUGGAUGAGUGGCGAACGGGUGAGUAACACGUGAGUAACCUGCCCCCUUCUUUGGGAUAACGCCCGGAAACGGGUGCUAAUACUGGAUAUUCACUGGUCUUCGCAUGGGGGUUGGUGGAAAGGGUUUUUCUGGUGGGGGAUGGGCUCGCGGCCUAUCAGCUUGUUGGUGGGGUGAUGGCCUACCAAGGCUUUGACGGGUAGCCGGCCUGAGAGGGUGACCGGUCACAUUGGGACUGAGAUACGGCCCAGACUCCUACGGGAGGCGGCAGUGUGGAAUAUUGCGCAAUGGGCGCAAGCCUGAUGCAGCGACGCCGCGUGAGGGAUGGAGGCCUUCGGGUUGUGAACCUCUUUCGCUCAUGGUCAAGCCGCAACAAUGGUUGUGGUGAGGGUAGUGGGUAAAGAAGCGCCGGCUAACUACGUG
This 483-nucleotide ribosomal RNA is filed under the name uncultured bacterium. RNAcentral describes it as "partial 16S ribosomal RNA". It matches the Rfam family "Bacterial small subunit ribosomal RNA", at positions 28 to 507 of the family's 1533-position model. The record is from RNAcentral.